Molecule: ribosomal RNA, 253 nt
Filed under: uncultured bacterium
Lineage: Bacteria
Description: partial 16S ribosomal RNA
Rfam family: Bacterial small subunit ribosomal RNA
Source: RNAcentral
UACGAAGGGGGCUAGCGUUGCUCGGAAUUACUGGGCGUAAAGGGCGCGUAGGCGGCCUUGUCAGUCAGGCGUGAAAUUCCUGGGCUUAACCUGGGGGCUGCGCUUGAUACGGCAGGGCUAGAGGUCAGAAGAGGGUCGUAGAAUUCCCAGUGUAGAGGUGAAAUUCGUAGAUAUUGGGAAGAACACCGGUGGCGAAGGCGGCGACCUGGUCUGAAACUGACGCUGAGGCGCGACAGCGUGGGGAGCAAACAGG